GGUCCUUUAGCUCACCUGGAUAGAGCGGCCGCCUCCUAAGCGGCAGGUAGUGCGUUCGAAUCGCAUAAGGGCCG
Molecule: transfer RNA, 74 nt
Filed under: Treponema sp.
Lineage: Bacteria; Pseudomonadati; Spirochaetota; Spirochaetia; Treponematales; Treponemataceae
Description: tRNA-Arg
Rfam family: tRNA
About the family: Transfer RNA (tRNA) molecules are approximately 80 nucleotides in length.
Source: RNAcentral